ACUCCUACGGGAGGCAGCAGUGGGGAAUAUUGCACAAUGGGCGAAAGCCUGAUGCAGCAACGCCGCGUGAGCGAUGAAGGCCUUCGGGUCGUAAAGCUCUGUCCUCAAGGAAGAUAAUGACGGUACUUGAGGAGGAAGCCCCGGCUAACUACGUGCCAGCAGCCGCGGUAAUACA
RNAcentral lists this ribosomal RNA (175 nucleotides) under uncultured bacterium. RNAcentral describes it as "partial 16S ribosomal RNA". It matches the Rfam family "Bacterial small subunit ribosomal RNA", at positions 335 to 527 of the family's 1533-position model. The record is from RNAcentral.